CAGUAGCCACGGGAAUACGAAGGGGGCUAGCGUUGCUCGGAAUGACUGGGCGUAAAGGGCGCGUAGGCGGUUUUCCAAGUUAGAUGUGAAAUUCCUGGGCUCAACCUGGGGGCUGCAUUUGAUACUGGGAGGCUUGAGUAUGGAAGAGGGUCGUGGAAUUCCCAGUGUAGAGGUGAAAUUCGUAGAUAUUGGGAAGAACACCGGUGGCGAAGGCGGCGACCUGGUCCAUAACUGACGCUGAGGCGCGAAAGCGUGGGGAGCAAACAGGAUUAGAUACCCCUGUAGUCCCUGUCUCUUAUAC
Molecule: ribosomal RNA, 301 nt
Filed under: uncultured bacterium
Lineage: Bacteria
Description: partial 16S ribosomal RNA
Rfam family: Bacterial small subunit ribosomal RNA
Source: RNAcentral